Long non-coding RNA from Brassica rapa (field mustard), 1970 nucleotides. RefSeq lists it as uncharacterized. Lineage: Eukaryota; Viridiplantae; Streptophyta; Magnoliopsida; Brassicales; Brassicaceae. The record is from RefSeq and is a predicted model, not a curated record.
AUUGGAUUUAUAAUUUUUUUCUUCUGAAUGAGUUGUAUCAGUUAAAUUAUCUUUUUAAGUUAAAUGCUCAAAGCCCAAUUAAUAAUAUUUAUUUUGCUGAUAACAAAUUGAGAUUAAAUAUGGAUAACAUAUAAUAUAUAAGGAAGACCAAAAAAAAAAGGUCCAAACAACCUUUAUAAGUAGAUUUAUCAAGACUGCUUCCCUUUUAAUAGAAUAGAUAUGUAAAUAUAUGGUCUCAUUAACCAUUACAUUAUUUGAUAAAUAUUCACAAUAAGUUAUUUUUAUAUUUUUUAACGUUUGAUGUUUUAUUAUAUAAAGCUUCGUUCAUCAAAGUUGUUAAUUAACAUAUUGCAACAUGUGUCAAUAAAAUAAUUAAAAUUGUGACAUAUGUCAAAAAUAAAUUACAUUACUUUCAAUUUUGCCGAUAUGAUCAUUCAAAUAGUUUUUUCAAAGUAUAUAUCAGACAAUAUAAAACCUGCACAUCAAGCGACGAUCGCUGUUUUAUCCGAAGACGUUGGUAGUCUAAACGUCGACACUGCUGCACCAGCACCCGUAACCAAGUUGCAGCCUAGCAGCUAAGUGUUGUUUUAUUGUUUGAUCAAAAAGAAUAAUGCACAAUUAAAGAACAAUUUUAUUGUUUGAUCAAAAAAAGAAUAAUGCAUAAUUAAUGUAUAACAAAUUGUUUCAGAAGAGAGCAUAUUACAUUGUUGUUUGCUGAUUUGUGAAAUUUAAUGAUCUACAUUACAAAUGACUAUGUAAAGAAGACUUCAAGAGUAAUGAAUGAAUCAAAUACAAACUAAAAUAAAUCUUAAAAUAGAGGAGGCAUGAGCUUUGAGUUUGUGAGAGAGAAGCCUUAGAGUAGCUAAGAAAUCAUUAUAUAUAGGUUUGUUAAUUACGGUUAAGUGAAUCAAUCUGAUUUGAAUUAACCGGCCUGGUCUUUUAUUUAUGUUUCGAUUUUAUAUUUCCAUCUGAUAUGAAAGGGGAAAAAGUCUUUCCAAAGACAAAAAAACCGGAACUGGUUUACUUGGGUUUGGUAUCCAAAUCAAUUUUUUGGUUCCAGAGAAAUAUGUACUAAUAAUCCAAAUCAAUUUAAUUCAGAGGUUAUUUUCAUCAUGUUCUGAUUCCUUCCAAUACAAGAAAACAAACCCCAUUAAACUCAACUCCACCCAGCAUCAUAAACUCUCUAUUAAUGUCUAGACAAGUUAAAAGAUUAUGAACAUCCUAAAAAUAGAAACGCAAGGAAGAAGGCAGAGAUAUAGUGAAAAACUCCAUCGACUGCCAUCUCCCAGCCAACACCAAUCGCAGGUGUAACAACUUCCUUUGGUAAACUCAGCCCUAUGAAAAGGAAAGCCAACUCGUAAAUAUAUGAAAAAAACGGUGGACCAAAGACAAAGCUAACAUCCACAAGUAAAUGAAUUCUACCAAAUCCACUUUUGGAGUCUACACAUCAGUCUCCAUAUGCAUAGACUAUCUCUAGGGCACGAAGAAAAUCACACAUCAAGGAGGCCAUACAUGCAAUAGAGUAGUACGCAAUCAUAAUACCUCUUCGCAAACAUAUUGUUCUCUCCAACUGCUUCCCCUGCAGCUCGAAGCCGAAACCAAACCACCCAAUCAAAAGUGGCAUGAGUUAGAGAACAAUUUCAACAAACUAAACUCGCAUUUAAAUUUCUAGACUCAUACUUCAUCAACCGUUUGGUUAGAAUUGUUUCAGAUAUAUUCACAUUUAAACUUCUAGCUAGACUCACACUCCAUCAACCGUUUGGUUAGAGUUGCUUCAGAUAUAUGCACAAUGUCCGCCUGAAAUAUGUCUUGUGACUUUUAGUUUGAUUAAUAAUAAAAAAAUAGAAAGUGAUUAUAUCACGUAAACAUUGAUCCUUUCACAUUGAAGUCUAUAAAUCUUUUCUGAAAACUUUGAAACGUUACAAGAACAAACAAAAGCAUUAUAACACACUCUUAUGGUGCGGGUCCAA